AUGGGAAACGAAUUCGAUCCGAGCAGUUUGACAAGGACCACUGACUACACUGAUGUGUACAGUAACAAUCCUGGCCAAUCAGCCACACUUGCUGCCGCACUAAAUGGAGAUCUAUCAAGCAACGUCGUUACACUGUCGCACAGUGAAGUGCAGAUUUAUUUUCAUCUCAAUGGGUACUCCCCCGACUGAUAUCGGUUUUUCGGGAUCCUUUGAAAGUGUUUGUAGUUUGCGGCGGAGGAGGAAGCGAGCAGCCGGCCAGAAGAAGCGUGCCAUGCGCCGCCACAAGCUCCGCAAAGUAUACCAGCACAGUGGAAGACUGUCAAAGAAUGAAACACACAUCGAUCGAAGCAAGUACGAGCACAUCAUGAAGUUCAAAAUCGCAAUGCUGCUGGGGAAAGUGUCCAUGGCCGAGGCGUGUGACAGCAACUGCACCACUCGACAGCUCAUGAGCAUGCACAAGUGCUGCGAGCACUGGCAAAAUAAUGGUAUAACCCCGAACGCAUGCCCAGGCCGCAGGCCAUCAGCAGCUAGCGACCUGGAACUCUGCUCUCCGCACUACCCUCUUCAACAAAAGAGCCGCCUGCAUAGACACGAUAACAGCCAGAAGCAUCGCAAUCGACUCAGAAAGAGGCAGCAGAAGCAAGCAAUGGUGAUCGAAGCUAAGCCACAGAAAUGAGCCAAGAGACUUCGCUUGCAGCGAGAGCGGGCAUCACGGCGGAGGCCACCCCAUACGACACAACUCACCUCUCCAAUCUAGAUGCUCCAGUCAUGUCGAACCAUGCGCUGGCGGCUUUCCAGCAGCCAGUGCCUUCGGAUAUGGCGUGCAAUUGACCUGCAGAUUCACUAGCCGCUGACGGGCAGUCAUCUGUAUGCACCCUGACUUCUAUUUAAGCACAC
Sycon ciliatum is the source of this 897-nucleotide long non-coding RNA. RefSeq lists it as uncharacterized. Lineage: Eukaryota; Metazoa; Porifera; Calcarea; Leucosolenida; Sycettidae. The record is from RefSeq and is a predicted model, not a curated record. The transcript is spliced from 3 exons.